This 460-nucleotide ribosomal RNA is filed under the name uncultured bacterium. RNAcentral describes it as "partial 16S ribosomal RNA". It matches the Rfam family "Bacterial small subunit ribosomal RNA", at positions 338 to 795 of the family's 1533-position model. The record is from RNAcentral.
CCUACGGGGGACAGCAGUGAGGAAUAUUGGUCAAUGGACGAGAGUCUGAACCAGCCAAGUAGCGUGAAGGAUGACUGCCCUAUGGGUUGUAAACUUCUUUUAUAUGGGAAUAAAACGUUCCACGUGUGGGAUUUUGUAUGUACCAUAUGAAUAAGGAUCGGCUAACUCCGUGCCAGCAGCCGCGGUAAUACGGAGGAUCCGAGCGUUAUCCGGAUUUAUUGGGUUUAAAGGGAGCGUAGGUGGAUUGUUAAGUCAGUUGUGAAAGUUUGCGGCUCAACCGUAAAAUUGCAGUUGAAACUGGCAGUCUUGAGUACAGGAGAGGUGGGCGGAAUUCGUGGUGUAGCGGUGAAAUGCUUAGAUAUCACGAAGAACUCCGAUUGCGAAGGCAGUUCACUGGACUGCAACUGACACUGAGGCUCGAAAGUGUGGGUAUCAAACAGGAUUAGAGACCCGGGUAGUC